This 136-nucleotide ribosomal RNA is filed under the name uncultured Trebouxiophyceae. RNAcentral describes it as "partial small subunit ribosomal RNA". It matches the Rfam family "Eukaryotic small subunit ribosomal RNA", at positions 1670 to 1804 of the family's 1831-position model. The record is from RNAcentral. Lineage: Eukaryota; Viridiplantae; Chlorophyta; Trebouxiophyceae.
CGCCCGUCGCUCCUACCGAUUGGGUGUGCUGGUGAAGUGUUCGGAUUGGCUUCUGGUUGUGGUUUCCGCAGCCAGUAGCCGAGAAGUUCAUUAAACCCUCCCACCUAGAGGAAGGAGAAGUCGUAACAAGGUUUCC